This 264-nucleotide ribosomal RNA is filed under the name uncultured archaeon. Its description in RNAcentral is "partial 16S ribosomal RNA". It matches the Rfam family "Archaeal small subunit ribosomal RNA", at positions 717 to 982 of the family's 1478-position model. The record is from RNAcentral.
AGACGUCUACAUUAGAUACCCGCGUAGUCCCAGCCGUAAACUAUGCGCGUUAGGUGUAUCGGUGACCACGAGUCACCGAGGUGCCGAAGGGAAACCGUGAAACGUGCCGCCUGGGAAGUACGGUCGCAAGGCUGAAACUUAAAGGAAUUGGCGGGGAGCACCACAACAGGUGGAGCCUGCGGUUUAAUUGGACUCAACGCCGGGAAGCUCACCGGAUAAGACAGCGGAAUGAUUGCCGGGCUGAAGACUCUGCAUGACUAGCUG